GUACGGCGAGUGAGCGGCAAAAGCUCAAAUUUGAAAUCUGGUACCUUCGGUGCCCGAGUUGUAAUUUGGAGAGGGCAACUUUGGGGCCGUUCCUUGUCUAUGUUCCUUGGAACAGGACGUCAUAGAGGGUGAGAAUCCCGUGUGGCGAGGAGUGCGGUUCUUUGUAAAGUGCCUUCGAAGAGUCGAGUUGUUUGGGAAUGCAGCUCUAAGUGGGUGGUAAAUUCCAUCUAAAGCUAAAUAUUGGCGAGAGACCGAUAGCGAACAAGUACAGUGAUGGAAAGAUGAAAAGAACUUUGAAAAGAGAGUGAAAAAGUACGUGAAAUUGUUGAAAGGGAAGGGCAUUUGAUCAGACAUGGUGUUUUGUGCCCUCUGCUCCUUGUGGGUAGGGGAAUCUCGCAUUUCACUGGGCCAGCAUCAGUUUUGGUGGCAGGAUAAAUCCAUAGGAAUGUAGCUUGCCUCGGUAAGUAUUAUAGCCUGUGGGAAUACUGCCAGCUGGGACUGAGGACUGCGACGUAAGUCAAGGAUGCUGGCAUAAUGGUUAUAUGCCGCCCGUCUU
This 556-nucleotide ribosomal RNA is filed under the name Saccharomyces cerevisiae (brewer's yeast). RNAcentral's name for it is "partial large subunit ribosomal RNA". It matches the Rfam family "Eukaryotic large subunit ribosomal RNA", at positions 83 to 655 of the family's 3401-position model. The record is from RNAcentral. Lineage: Eukaryota; Fungi; Ascomycota; Saccharomycetes; Saccharomycetales; Saccharomycetaceae.